Molecule: long non-coding RNA, 6593 nt
Filed under: Lactuca sativa (garden lettuce)
Lineage: Eukaryota; Viridiplantae; Streptophyta; Magnoliopsida; Asterales; Asteraceae
Description: long non-coding RNA (LSAT_LNC003460)
Source: RNAcentral
AUAACAUUGCCUUCCGGCCCGGAUCUUUCGAUCCACAUAACAUUGCCUUCCGGCCCGGACCUUUCGGUCCACAAGAUAAUCGCCUUCCGGCCCGUACACAUAUAUAACACAUAAUACAAAUACUCUAACACAUAAAGCACAUAUAUCAUAUAUCAUACCUGACCAUUCCUGUCACAUAAUACCUUGCCUUCCGGCCCAUAUAUAAACAUGUAUAUCACGCGUAGCAGCUAACUUUCCAUUUAUAGCAUAUAAACAUAAUACAUAACAUACUUGACCUUCCGGUCACACAAUCAAACCCUUCCGGGUGAGGUAUAGUGAGAAGACUCACCUCGCGGACACUGGAAGAUAGCAACUCCUAAAAUCCCUUGCACUUGAUCCUCCGAGCUACAAGCUCCCUGUAACAUCAUAUAUCCCUUAUUAAUACUUCUAUCUUCCACGUUAACUGACCCUAAGAAAUCACACCAGUCAACUCUGGUCAACAGUCCAUUGUCAGCUCGACUGGACUCGGCGAGUUCCCUGGCGACUCGGCGAGUCUGGUCGUCCUUCAAUCCUCUAAGAUUCCCCUUCUACUCGUCGAGUAUCCUCUUUGACUCGACGAGUCACUCCUGGAAGAAUCGCGGGGCCACCCCGACUCCACUCGCCGAGUCUGAAGAACAACUCGGCGAGUCCCAGUGAAUCUUCAAGCUACUCGCCGAGUCUGAUCAUCCGACUCGGCGAGUCCACGCCAUGCAGUCGAUCAAACUGCUUCCUGAGAUACAUAUUUUCCCGAAUAUACAAACAUAGGACCUUCUGGACCUCUAAGGGGUACUAAUACAGGGUUAUAAACGUUGGAUAAUAACACAACAAUCCAUCUAAUCCCAAAUGGGUUUCAUAAACCCUAAAUUCGUGUACACAUCAAAAUAACAGGAAUGAUCCGAAACAUAACCUGAAAACGUACUCUCUGUGUCCCCAAACCUCAGAACUCGACCCCCUUGCUCUUCCUUUGGCCAAAAUCCUUCCUCUUCUUGCACCACAAUUCCUUCAAAGUCAAUAAUGGCCUUCAAGUUUGCUCUAGAUGCCACAGUCGUUUAGGGUUCUCCACAAUCGGCCAAAAGACGUGAAAUGACGACAUAACAACCCUUAUAUACGACCCAAUACGAAACGGCUAGGGUUUCCGCUGAACAGCGUCGACUCGCCGAGUCCAUAUCUGGACUCGUCGAGUCCAGUCGUGAACCCGCGACCAAACCUGCGACCCUACUCGGCGAGUCUGGCUCCAACUCGUCGAGUCUCCCCUUUAAAACACCCCCAAAAUGCAAUUUAACAAUACUUGAGAUUUUGGGCUGUUACAAUUCUCCCCCACUAGAAUUAGACUUCGCCCUCGAAGUCUCACUCUGAAAAUAGCUCUGGCUGCUGCUCCCGCAUCUCACGUUUCGGCUUCCCUAGACACUACCGAUCUCUCCCGAGACCGCUACUGAACCAAUACCAGAGGUACCUCCUUGUUCCUCAGAACCUUGAUCUUCCGAUCUCCGACGGCCACUGGCCUCUCGACGUAACACAGGCUCGCAUCCACCUAAUCGUUCUCUAGUAGAACCACUGCUGACUCAUCCGCUAUACACCUCUUCAACUGCGACACAUACCAGUGUCAUGGAUCCGUCCCAAUUCCGUUGACAGCUCCAAACGAUAGGCCACCCUUCCUACCUUCGCACCUUCACGAAAAGACCCAACAUACCGGGGCCCCCCAUUUACCCCUCUUCCUAAAUCGAAGCACCCCGUCAGAAAUACGAAGUCGCUGACCUGAAUCACAUGCUCGUAACGGCGUCUGCCUGCAUAACUUUCCUGUUAACUCUAGACGAUCACUAACUCUCUUUAACCUGCUGAGUCUGCUUUGUCAACUAAAGUACGAACUCUGAACUGCUCAUCACUCUCUGUAAUCGGAAAUUACCCAAGAUGCACUCUGCUCCAAAUCUCAACGAUCACUCAACCCAUAAGGGUUAGGAAACCCUGAACCACCGGAUCCCCGAUCCAAAGCCCACUUUGCCCAUUCCGGACCGACUGAGAGAUCCGUUCUCCCUCUCAGAUCAACUCUCACAAGUUCCCUCUUGCCAUCACAUACACAUACUGAACUAGUCCCAACACCCGCAGGUGGAAAGACCCGAUACACUGAUGAUAUCCUCGAACAUCUCCCAAGAUGAACCACUACAUCCACCCUACACUCUGAUCAGAUUCACACUGAGAAUUUAAAAUUUUCUCUCUCCAUGCAUCCCUUCUGAGCCUCAACAGACAUCCCAACCGGAUGGGUUCCUACUCCACUGCCGCGAACACGAUGCUCAAAACCAUACUCGAAAUACUCUAACCAUAACUCUGCUCUGCAGCUUUCACUUUCGUGAACUUGCACCCCCUUCGGAGUUACAUACCCUCCUCUUUUCCUUUUCCACGGAACUCUCUUGAACAUAAUGCCACUCCAACCGGUGCCACGGUGCUCGCCCCAAGCGACACCACCCUUUUUGCGUAACUGCUAUUCACAUACUCUGGUUCUCAUUGCAGGGGCUCUCAAUCCCAUGCACUCUCUCCACUCAUCAAAAUCACUGCCUCCGCUAAACAAGAUCAAUAACCCGGGGCCAGACCUUCCAAUGCAAUCACACUGCAACAUACGCGAUCCGCAAAUCUCAAACUAAUCCAGCAAUACCAACAGAGUCUCCAGUAUGACUGGACCGACUCUCAUAACACAUACUAGCCACUCGAGGCUAUAUCUCUGUGGGUCCGUACACCCAAACUCUGCGAACCCUCAGGUUCUAACUCUGGGAACCUUCCGGUUCCAGCUCUAGAAACAUGCACAACAUAAUCCCGUGGGAUUAAUGCAGUACAACCAUCACGUACCUCAAACGUACCAAUACUCUGAUCGCAAAAUUCCGAUUACUUACUCAAGCUUGAUCCCGACCUCCUCUCAGGCCUCCACAAUCAAAUGCCCUAGGUCUGUAUCUCGCCCCGCAUACCCAACACUCGCUCUCGUCGGCCUAUACUUUGCGCUGACAAACACUGCUGAAUCCCAACAGCUAAGCACCCUUACAUACUCAUCGAUCUCCCGGAGAAUUUUAUAAUUCUCCCCCACUAAAGCACUGACUAACUGCCACCGAUCGUCAUUAACGACCUUUCAGAACCAUCCUGCACAAAGAGAACAUUUACCCACUGACUGCUUCCCACAAGCGUAAGCAACCCUCAGCAAAACACAUCUCCUCCCUGAUCAAUCCGCUCAAAAGAAUCCGAUCUUUCAAUUAUCCACUCCACAACUGCAGAUGCUACCCGUCAUUCAACCCAGUGCCGCAUCUCCACUAUCAACCCUCACGAACGAUGACCAACGGAAUUCCCAAGCAAUAACCCAUAACCAAACCCACAACCUGCCAAAGGUUGAAUAUCGCAUCGAAAACCGCACAAGGCUACCGGUACCAAAACACCAAACUAUAAUCAUACCAAACCAUCAGGGAACAACGAAUGCCAAGCGAAAACCUGAAGCACCAAUCCAUAACCAUGCCAAACCCGCGAAACAACGAAUACCGCAUCGAAAUCCACACCAGACACCAGCACAAACAAUACGCCACAAUCAACGCAAGCUACUCAAGACAUCAAGAGAGCAUCAUACCCGCAGCUGCCUCCGGCACUGCUCCGUCUCCCUCUGCCGCAAGCCGAUAAGCACGACCCUGAGCCCUUGGGCUCUGCUCCAUCCUGUCCUCCUCCUGAACUCCUCAAGGUGGCCGAUGCUAGAGCCUGCACCGGUCCUGCAGGAAACUGUGGACGGUUGACCCUCAAAUGUCCAACCUGCCGACACUGAUAACAAAUCCUGAAAUCCCGAAUUGGCACUGACUGCCGACAAUCCCGUGCACCAUGCCCCUCCUUUCCGCACUUGCGGCAUGCACCAUUGGGCCAACAAGCUCCGGUGCCAUCUCUCUCACACUUCCCACAAGUGUGACCGCUCCGAUCCCCCAUUUCAACGUCUACGGUCCUGAACCGUUUCGGCGCCGACUGCGACUGCAUCGGGGCCUGUCCCAGCUCACGCAACUGCAACUUAACCUCUAACUCACGCCACAUGGCGGCCUUCUGCAACUCCAACAGGGUCUCGCACCUCCGCGCAGACACGAACUGUCUGAUACCCCCUUGAGCUUACUCGAAUAUCGGGCAUCUGAGCCUGCUCCGAAGCGAACUCAGGGCAAAACAUCGCCCUCUCAAUAAACAUCCCGGUGCUCUCAGUCACCGACUCCAAAUCCUGCUUCAGCUUAAGGAACUUCCGAGCCAAUUUCUCCUUUUCAUCCCGCGGAACAUAGCGAGUACUGAACAUCCCUCUGAAUUGAUCCCAUGAAACCGCAGCCCUCUGCGCAUCGGAAAAUGACCUCGUGGUCAAUCUCCACCAAUCCUUCGCCCCGAGCCUCAAUAGGUUCAGAGCACACCCCACCCUCUGAUCAGCAGGGCAUAAACUCGUGGAGAAACACCCCUCCAUGUCUGAUAACCAUCUCAUAGCAACAAUCGAGUCCUGAACUCCAUCGAAUGUGGGAGGCUUCGCAUAAUAGAAGUCCCGAUACUGAAAACCCCGACUAGCCCCUUUCUUUGCCGUUGCUACAGCCGCUGUAACCGCCGCGGCAGCCGUCUCUGCGAAAGCCGCAUAUCGCUCAUCAAACUACUUCAAUCAUAGUGGUCCUGAUCGACCCAAACAAUUCUGGCGACUCAGCCCGCAACAAUGCAGCAACCUCAUCACGCCGGAUCUCGCGAAUCCUCGCAUCCCGCUCGCUCGUGCUCGUCCGAUCGAUAACCGGAUAACAAGAUAGCCACAAGCAUCAUCCACUACGAACCAUGGUACUCAUCCCAUGACAUCCUUCCUCAACAUGCUUCGGUGUAUGGUACCUGAACCAUAGCACCAUUCCUCAACCUGCUCCAAUGUAUAGCACUCGAACCACAACAUCUAUCUCAAUCUGUUCCGAUGUAUGGUGCCCUGACCAUAACAUCACUCUGUAUCCGCUCCGAUGUAUGGUAUCCGAACCAUAACAUCACCCCUCAAUCUGUUCCUUAGGACCUUCAGAAUGCCCCCUGUAUCAAGUAUGGGUCCUCUGCUUUCAGUAGUACGGGCCCAUACUACCUGCCACAUCUACCCAUACUUUCCACACGGACCAUCCCAGAGUUCCUAAGUAGCUGAUAAACCUGCUCUUUCACCCAUCUCAUCGCGCGUGCUCGCUUUCCAGCGAAAUCCUCUACUCUACCAGCGCACUCAUCUGGCUAGGUUUACUCCCUAGUCCCUUCCGCUGUCCUCCCACUUCUUUGCUAUCAGCUGCUGAAGAGUUCCUAAUGAUGCCAGCCCUCUACCUCCUGAGUAUCGUCAUACUCACUUAGUAGCUGACUCCCAUCAUCGAUAACUCCACAAAGCACAAAGCAAGCAGCAUUCGAGCAUUGAAGCAUACAUAGGACUCCCCAUCUGUGGUAGCUCCACCUUCUCGGCUCAUCCUCGGAAGUACCUCUGUACCCCGUAGCUUUACCCCUUGUGCGUUCUAACUAGAUACUCUCACUCAUCACAUACACACAAAAGCAUAACGCACAUAUAACAGCAAACCCUAGACUAAGGCAUCACAAAUCAGGCCACUCUAGUCCUAAGAUGUGAAAUACCUAGCCUGUCUCUAGCAUGCAAUAAUGUCUCAUAAAGUGCAUAAUAGAUAUUUCAUAAUACAAAAGUAAGGGUAUUUUGGGAAAUCACCGUUUGGCUCUGGCUGAUUGUACACACUGCUCUUUCUUGCUUUCUCUUUGAACUCUUAUUCACUUUUAGAAAACCAUUUAUUUGGAAAACUUUUUCUUACUUCCUCAGUUUGAGUCCAGAUUUACCCGUAGGCGCGUCCGAAUCCCUCAAACCAAGGCUCUGAUACCAAUUUGUAACACCAAGAUUUCCAAAAACAAAAUUUUCAUUUAAUUAAUCAAUUUAAUAUUAAAAACACUUGUUUAAAAUCUUAUUCACAUUCGAAUUACAAAACAUAGUUUCAUUUUCAUUAUAAUAGAAGACCAGGAUCCUCCAAAACACAACUCUUUCUUCGGUGUGUACAAUCGAACCGUUGCCAUCCCGCGUUACUGUAAGAACCUGAAACAACAUAACAUAAACAACGUAAGCACGAAGCUUAGUGAGUUCCCCAAUAUACCUUACGCACAUACGCCUUCCGGCCCGGACCUUUCGAUCCACAUAACAUUGCCUUCCGGCCCGGACCUUUCGGUCCACAUAACAUUGCCUUCCGGCCCGGACCUUUCGGUCCAUAAUAUAUAUCGCCUUCCGGCCCAUAAGAUAAUUGCCUUCCGGCCCAUACACAUAUAUAACACAUAAUACAAAUACUCUAACACAUAAAGCACAUAUAUCAUAUAUCAUACCUGACCUUUCUGUCACAUAAUACCUUGCCUUCCGGCCCAUAUAUAAGCAUGUAUAUCACGCGUAGCAGCUAACUUUCCAUUUAUAGCAUAUAAACAUAACACAUAACAUACUUGACCUUCCGGUCACACAAUCAAACCCUUCCGGGUGAGGUAUAGUGAGAAGACUCACCUCGCGGACACUAGAAGAUAGCAACUCCUAAAAUCCCUUGCACUUGAUCCUCCGAGCU